Molecule: ribosomal RNA, 206 nt
Filed under: uncultured bacterium
Lineage: Bacteria
Description: partial 16S ribosomal RNA
Rfam family: Bacterial small subunit ribosomal RNA
Source: RNAcentral
GGACUGCAGCCUGCAACCCGGCUGCACGAAGCCGGAAUCGCUAGUAAUCGCGGAUCAGAAUGCCGCGGUGAAUACGUUCCCGGGUCUUGUACACACCGCCCGUCACACCAUGGGAGUCGGAUAUGCCCGAAGCCAGUGACCCAACCGUAAGGAGGGAGCUGUCGAAGGUGGAGCCGAUAACUGGGGUGAAGUCGUAACAAGGUACC